GAUCUCACCCUGACGCGAGAAUUGGCAAGUCCUGGCGCGGCUUACCUGGUGGCAAGAGGAACUUUGCAGAUUUGAUUUGGUUAAGGAGCCGGAGAUUGAAAGAUUGUCCUGGAUUAUUCGGGUGGAUGGAUCCUGUGUAAUUAUGAUGAUAAGAAGGAGGCAGGAGUGUCAAGUGUGAGAUGUGAUGACCAGAGCAGAGGUGAGAAAGAGAAAGAAGAAAAAAACAGAUUUGAAGAUGGAGGAAGGAACGAAGAUCCAAGGUAUAAAGGUACCCUCUAGAAGCUGGAAAGGAAGGAAAUAGAUUUUCCCAUAGAGCCUCCAAAGGAAUGCAGCUGCGCCAGCACCUUGAUUUCAUCUAACCUCCAAAACUCAUGCAUUCAGAUAUUUUCCUGGCCCAUCACUAUAGUAACUGGGAGAGAGUCCUCAUCCUGAAGGAGCUCAGAGGACACAAAAGCAGAAGCCUGAGAAGCAAGAGCCUACACAGAAGAAAGGAAAAUCUGAGAAACAUUUGAAAUUAAAAUAGUGUCCUUCAAUCAACCAUGAGUGAGGCCACACCAGUUCUAUUGACCAUGACUAUGUGAAGAUCAAUUUGACAAAGCCACUGACAUAUUUGCAGAAGUGAAGGCUUAAAGCAGAAAGCACAGUGGAGUUAUUCAUCACCAUCACCAUGGGGACCAAAAUAUUGGGAUUCUGUUUUACCUUGCUGAUUCAUUGUUGUUGAUUCUUUUAUAUUUUUAUUUUUCCUAAUAAAUCUUUUAUUUUUCUAAUUUUAUUUUAUUCUUUAUAGUUUGUUAGUGAUCUCUCUUUUUGGCUUGUUGCCCCCACCCCUUUUUUUUUUCUUUUUUCUGCUGUGGUUUUAUUUUACCUUAUUGCAGUUGUUUCAAUUAUAGUUUUAUUUUUCCUAAUAUAUUUUUUUAUCUUUCUGGUUUUAUUUUGUUUUUUACUCUUUGAUAUUGUACUGCUCUUUUUUCUGUCUUUCUUCUUUUUGUAUUUUUUUUUACCAUGCCAUGAAGCUUGCGGGAUCUUGGUUCCCAGGCUGGAGGUCGGGCUCGAGCUCCUAUGGUGGGAGCUCCAAGUCCAAACCGCUGGACUAACAGAGAACCUCAGACCUCAGGGAAUAUCAGUCGGAGUGAGGCCUCCCGGAGGUCCUCAUCUCAGCACCAAGACCCAGCUCUAUCUAACUGCCUGCAAACUCCAGUGCUGGACAUCUCAAGCCAAACAACGAGUAAGACAGGAAUACAGCACCACCCAUCCAAAAAAAAAUGAAAUGACAAAAAAAUAUGUUACAGAUGAAGCAAGGUAAAAACUUACAAGAUCAAAUAAAUGAAGGUGAAAUAGGCAACCUACCUGAAAAAGAAUUCAAAGUAAUGAUAGUAAAGAUGAUCCAAAUGUACUAAAUAGCAACGAGAUCACUGAAGAAAUCAAAGAGGAAAUCAAAAAACACCUAGAAACAAAUCACAAUGAAAACACGAUGACCCAAAACCUAUGGGAUGCAGCAAAAGCAGUUCUAAGAGGGAAGUUUAUAGCAAUACAGUCUUACCUCAAGAAACAAGAAAAAUCUCAAAUAAACAACCUAACCUUACACCUAAAGCAAUUAGAGAAAGAAGAACAAAAAAACCCCAAAGUUACCAGAAGGAAAGAAAUCAUAAAGAUCAGAUCAGAAAUAAAUGAAAAAGAAAUGAAGGAAACAAUAGCAAAGAUCAAUAAAACUAAAAACUGGUUCUUUGAGAAGAUAAACAAAAUUGAUAAACCAUUAGCCAGACUCAUCAAGAAAAAAAGGGAGAACUCAAAUCAACAGAAUUAGAAAUGAAAAAGGAGAAAUAACAAUUGACACUGCAGAAACACAAAGGAUCAUGAGAAAUUACUACAAGCAACUAUAUGCCAAUAAAAUGGACCACCUGAAAGAAAGGGACAAAUUCUUAGAAAAGCAAAACCUUCCUAGGCUGAACCAGGAAGAAAUAGAAAAUAUAAACAAACCAAUCACAACCACUGAAAUUAAAACUGUGAUUAAAUAUCUUCCAACAAACAAAAGCCCAGGACCAGAUGGCUUCACAGGCGAAUUCUAUCAAACAUUUAGAGAAGAGCUAACACCUGUCCUUCUCAAACUCUUCCAAAAUAUAGCAAUGGGAGGAACACUCCCAAACUCAUUCUACGAGGCCACCAUCACCCUGAUACCAAAACCAGACAAAGAUGUCACAAAAAAAGAAAAUUACAGGCCAAUAUCUCUGAUGAACAUAGAUGUAAAAAUCCUCAACAAAGUCUAGCAAACAGAAUCCAACAGCACAUUAAAAGGAUCAUACACCAUGAUCAAGUGGGGUUUAUCCCAGGAAUGCAAGGAUUCUUCAAUAUAUGCAAAUCGAUCAAUGUGAUACACCAUAUUAACAAAUUGAAGAUAAAAACAAUAUGAUAAUCUCAAUAGAUGUAGAAAAAGCUUUUGACAAAAUUCAACACCCAUGUAUGAAAAAACUCUCCAGAAAGAAGGCAUAGAGGGAACCUACCUCAACAUAAUAAAGGCCAUAUAUGACAAACCCACAGCCGACAUCAUUUUCAAUGGUGAAAAACUGAAAUCAUUUCCUCUAAGAUCAGGAACAAGACAAGGUUGCACGCUCUCACCACUAUUAUUCAACAUAGUUUUGGAAGUUUUAGCCACAGCAAUCAGAGAAGAAAAAGAAAUAAAAGGAAUCCACAUCGGAAAAGAAGAAGUAAAACUGUCACUGUUUGCAGAUGACAUGAUACUAUACAUAGAGAAUCCUAAAGAUGCUAUCAGAAAACUACUGGAGCUAAUCAAUGAAUUUGGUAGGGCAGCAGGAUACAAAAUUAAUGCACAGAAAUCUCUUGCAUUCCUAUACACUAAUGAUGAAAAACCUGAAAGAGAAAUUAAGGAAACACUCCCAUUUACCACUUGCAAGAAAAAGAAUAAAAUACCUAGGAAUAAACCUACUUAAGGAGACAAAAGACCUGUAUGCAGAAAACUAUAAGACACGGAUGAAAGAAAUUAAAGAUACAAACAGAUGGAGAGAUAUACUAUGUUCUUGGAUUGGAAGAAUCAACAUUGUGAAAAAUGACUAUACUACCCAAAGCAAUCUACAGAUUCAAUGCAAUCCCAAUGAAACUGCCAAUGGCAUUUUUCACAGAACUAUAACAAAAAAUUUGACAAUUUGUAUGGAAACACAAAAGACCCUGAAUAGCCAAACCAAUGCUGAGAAAGAAAAACAGAGCUGGAGGAAUCUGACUCCUGGAUCUCAGACUAUACUGCAAAGCUACAGUAAUCAAGUAAUUGAUUGCCAGUACAAUGAAUCAUUGUACUGGCAGAAAAGCAGCAAUAUAGAUCAAUGGAACAGGAUAAAAAGCCCAGAGAUAAACCCACACACAAAUGGUCACCUUAUCUUUGAUAAAGGAGGCAAGAAUAUACAAUGGAGAAAAGACAGCCUCUUCAAUAAGUGGUGCUGGGAAAACUGGACAGCUACAUGUAAAAGAAUGAAAUUAGAACACUCCCUAACACCAUACACAAAAAUAAACUCAAAAUGGAUUAAAGACCUAAAUGUAAGGCCAGACACUAUAAAACUCUUAGAGGAAAACAUAGGCGGAACACUCUAUGACAUCAAUCACAGCAAGAUCCUUUUUGACCCACCCCCUAGAGAAAUGGAAAUAAACAAAUGAGACCUAAUGAAAUUUAAAAGCUUUUGCACAACAAAGGAAACCAUAAACAAGAGAAAAAGACAACCCUCAGAUGGGAGAAAAUAUUUGCAAGUGAAGAAACUGACAGAGGAUUAAUCUCCAAAAUAUACAAGCAGCUCAUGCAGCUCAAUAUCAAAAAAACAAAUAACCCAAUCCAAAAAUGGGCAGAAGACCUAAAUAGACAUUUCUCCAAAGAAGAUAUACAGAUUGCCAAGAAACACAUGAAACAUCACUAAUCAUUAGAGAAAUGCAAAUCAAAACUACAAUGUGGUAUCACCUCAUACCAGUCAGAAUGCAUCAUUAAAAAAUCUACAAACAAAUAAAUCUACAAACAAUAAAUGCUGGAGAGGGUGUGGAGAAAAGGGAAGCCUCUUGCACUGUUGGUGGGAAUGUAAAUUGAUACAGCCACUAUGGAGAGCAGUAUGGAAGUUCCUUAAAAAACUAAAAAUAGAACUACCAUACAACCUAGCAAUCUCACUACUGCACAUAUACCCUGAGAAAACCAUAAUUCAAAAAGAGUCAUGUACCACAAUGUUCAUUGCAGCUCUAUUUACAAUAGCCAGGACAUGGAAGCAAUCUAAGUAUCCAUCAACAAAACAGAUGCAUGGAUAAAGAAGAUGUGGCACAUAUAUACAAUGGAACAUUACUCAGCCAUAAAAAGAAACGAAAUUGAGUUAUUUGUAGUGAGGUGGAAGGACCUAGAGUCUGUCAUACAGAGUGAAGUAAGUCAGAAAGAGAAAAACAAAUACCGUAUGCUAACACGUAUAUAUGGAAUCUAAAAAGAAGAAAUGGUUCUGAUGAAUCUAAGGGCAAGAAAGGAAUAAAGACACAGACCUUGAAAAUGGACUUGAGGACACGGGGAGGGGAAAGGGUAAGCUGGGACGAAGUGAGAGAGUAGCAUUGACAUAUAUACACUACGAAAUGUAAAAUAGAUAGCUAGUGGGAAACAGCUGCAUGGCACAGGGAGAUCAGCUCCGUGCUUUGCGACCACCUAGAGGGGUGGGAUAAGGAGGGUGGGAGGGAGAUGCAAGAGGGAGGGGAUAUAGGGAUAUAUGUAUGCAUAUGCUGAUUCACUUUGUUGUACAGCAGAAACUAACAUAACACUGUAAAGCAAUUAUACUCCAAUAAAGAUGUUAAAAAAUGAAAGAAACAUUAUUUUUAAACUAAUAUUAAAAUGCCUGAGUGACAUGU
This is a long non-coding RNA of Globicephala melas (long-finned pilot whale), 4869 nucleotides long. RefSeq lists it as uncharacterized. The record is from RefSeq and is a predicted model, not a curated record. NCBI's taxonomy places the organism in Eukaryota, Metazoa, Chordata, Mammalia, Artiodactyla, Delphinidae.